GCUGCCCCGCCCACUCUGGGAAGAGGGGCGGGGCCGCCCGCUCCAGAGGGACGGAAGCGGCGGGGCCGCCGGAUCCAGGGACAAUGGGGUGGGGCGGGCUUUCCCUGGGUGGGCGCAGCGGCUUCCUGGGUCCCCCUCACGCUCUGGGUCAGAGUUCCUUUACAGGCGGACCUGAGAGGCAACUCACCGACUCCUGCCCUGGACCCUCCUGCGCCACUGAACCCCCUGACCUGGGAGCCUCGGAACCUAGGGCUCAGGAGAUGAACCAGGACUUAUCCGAAGGUACCAAGUGAACUUCUAGGAAAAGUCCAAUUCUCAGAUGCUGGAUGUCUUCCAAAAAUGAAGCAAAUUAGUAACUUAGUAGCUGAGUCAACUAAUCCUGUUAGAUGGUCAACACUGGUUUUUUUAUUUUAAUAUUUUUAAGUGGCAACUCUAGUGUGUGAGAAAAUUAAUGUGACAGCUGAAUUUGUAGAAAGCUGCUUUGACUCUCUUGGGCCCCUUCAUAAGCCCUGGAACUAAAUAAAAGUCUAGUGAAUACAGAGAACUUCCAGCAGCUGUUUACCUGGAAACAAGUUGAAAAUGUAUUUGAAAUGGAAGCCACUAGAAUUGUAAACACUUCUGUCAUCUUUCUCCUUUGUGUGCCUCUGCAGAUAAGGCUGCUCCAGUGCCCCCAAAUUUGGACCUUAUGCUCUGUAGUUUCCUGUUAUAACCAAUUUGCUAUUUGUGUUACCAAAGUAUAUUUAGUAGAUUUUAUUUGAAAAAAGAAAUAAAGUUAGAAAAUAUUGACAGUAUUACAUAACAUAAGUUCUUUGUUUAAAUUUGUCAUAUUUAAUUUUUGAAAGCUAAAUAACUAAAAUCUCAUUUCUACUAAAUUAUUCUUUUUUUCAUGCUAAGG
Molecule: long non-coding RNA, 895 nt
Filed under: Homo sapiens (human)
Lineage: Eukaryota; Metazoa; Chordata; Mammalia; Primates; Hominidae
Description: HSALNT0396749
Source: RNAcentral